RNAcentral lists this ribosomal RNA (445 nucleotides) under Streptomyces sp. A00042. Its description in RNAcentral is "bacterial SSU rRNA". It matches the Rfam family "Bacterial small subunit ribosomal RNA", at positions 56 to 516 of the family's 1533-position model. Lineage: Bacteria; Bacillati; Actinomycetota; Actinomycetes; Kitasatosporales; Streptomycetaceae. The record is from RNAcentral.
UGCAAGUCGAACGAUGAAACCGCUUCGGUGGUGGAUUAGUGGCGAACGGGUGAGUAACACGUGGGCAAUCUGCCCUUCACUCUGGGACAAGCCCUGGAAACGGGGUCUAAUACCGGAUAACACUCUGUCCCGCAUGGGACGGGGUUGAAAGCUCCGGCGGUGAAGGAUGAGCCCGCGGCCUAUCAGCUUGUUGGUGGGGUAAUGGCCUACCAAGGCGACGACGGGUAGCCGGCCUGAGAGGGCGACCGGCCACACUGGGACUGAGACACGGCCCAGACUCCUACGGGAGGCAGCAGUGGGGAAUAUUGCACAAUGGGCGAAAGCCUGAUGCAGCGACGCCGCGUGAGGGAUGACGGCCUUCGGGUUGUAAACCUCUUUCAGCAGGGAAGAAGCGAAAGUGACGGUACCUGCAGAAGAAGCGCCGGCUAACUACGUGCCAGCAGCC